This 510-nucleotide ribosomal RNA is filed under the name uncultured bacterium. RNAcentral describes it as "partial 16S ribosomal RNA". It matches the Rfam family "Bacterial small subunit ribosomal RNA", at positions 36 to 507 of the family's 1533-position model. The record is from RNAcentral.
UCCUCCCUCGGGCGGCGUGCUUAACACAUGCAAGUCGAACGAAGAGCGAUGGAAGCUUGCUUCUAUCAAUCUUAGUGGCGAACGGGUGAGUAACGCGUAAUCAACCUGCCCUUCAGAGGGGGACAACAGUUGGAAACGACUGCUAAUACCGCAUACGAUCCAAUCUCGGCAUCGGGACUGGAUGAAAGGUGGCCUCUAUUUAUAAGCUAUCACUGAAGGAGGGGAUUGCGUCUGAUUAGCUAGUUGGAGGGGUAACGGCCCACCAAGGCGAUGAUCAGUAGCCGGUCUGAGAGGAUGAACGGCCACAUUGGGACUGAGACACGGCCCAGACUCCUACGGGAGGCAGCAGUGGGGAAUCUUCCGCAAUGGACGAAAGUCUGACGGAGCAACGCCGCGUGAGUGAUGACGGCCUUCGGGUUGUAAAGCUCUGUUAAUCGGGACGAAUGGUUCUUGUGCGAAUAGUGCGAGGAUUUGACGGUACCGGAAUAGAAAGCCACGGCUAACUACGUG